Molecule: ribosomal RNA, 1611 nt
Filed under: Triticum aestivum (bread wheat)
Lineage: Eukaryota; Viridiplantae; Streptophyta; Magnoliopsida; Poales; Poaceae
Description: partial small subunit ribosomal RNA
Source: RNAcentral
AUGGAUUUAUUGGAUUGGGAGAUUAACUCUUUUGUGUUUACCUUAAUACGACGAGGGGAAAGAGGGGGAUACGAGGCGAGGACUUACCACCGGGGAGAAGCCCAGUACGGCGGAGGAGUGCCGAAUAUAGAACUAUUUUCAAAGUUGGUGAACUGUUUUCAAAAUGGGGUGCGGCCCGGAACGCCCCACCACUCGCGCCGCCCAUCGGCGUUGUGGCGGCCCCGCGGGAUGACGCCGUUGGUGGAGGCGAUCUGCUCCUCGCGGCGGCGCUCGAAGUACAUCAGGGGAGAGUACUGCUGCUUACUGCGCCGGAGAGGGGGGGAAAUGAGAGCUGUGGCGUCCACCGGCGAGGAGAUUGAAGAUACGAACAAAGAAUUUCCAGUGGCUUCAGAAAGAGCUAGAUUGGUUUUUGGAGUCCAUAUGUCGACUCUUCCUGCAUUAAGGAAGUAUGUAUUGACAUGCCCAAGCAUUCAAUAUGGUGAACUGUUGAUAAGUUGUGGUUUACUUGGAGAAGCCCUGAAUGUUUUCAAAGAUCUUGAAUUGUGGGAUAAUCUCAUCUAUUGCUAUCGAUUAUCGGGUAAACUUGCUGAUGCAGUUAGUCUAAUAAAUACACGGCUCUCCAUUACACCCAAUGACCCAAAAUUAUGGUGUUCACUUGGUGAUGCUACAAAUAACGACAAUCAUUAUAAGAAAGCAUUGGAAGUCUCCAAUAACAAAUCUGCUCGAGCUCUGCGUUCUCUGGCUCGUAGUGCGUACAACAAGAAUGACUUCUAUACAUCCAAAAUUCUUUGGGAAUCUGCAUUGGCAUUGAAUUCGUUGUAUCCAGAUGGCUGGUUUGCCUAUGGUACAACUGCAUGGAAGGAUAAAGAUCUUGAGAAGGCUUUGGAUGCUUUUAGUCGUGCUGUGCAGAUAGAUCCUGAAAAUGGAGAAGCAUGGAACAAUAUAGCCUGCCUGCACAUGAUUAGAGGGAAGAGUCAAGCGUCAGUCCAGUCAUUCAGGGAAGCUGUUAAGUUCAAGAGGAAUAGUUGGCAAGUUUGGGACAAUUACAGUAAGGUUGCUUUGGACACAGGCAAUAUUCGACUGCGCUUCAAUGUUGAUUUAUUGGACAAGGUGAUGACCACCCUUGAAGAACAAGCUACUCAUCUUAAUGACACUCAAGAAGCUAAAUCCAUGGGCAACACUUCAGAUGAUUCAAAUAAAGAGACCAAGCAGUCGAGUCAAUUAUUAGAUAUAAUUGGUGAUAUCCUUGAGCAGAUUGUACAAAAUGGGGCUAGCGUUCCAGAGAUAUGUGGAUUAUGUGCUAGAUACCAUAAGAGCAAGGGCGACCUCGUGGAAUGUUCUAAAGCUUUGCGCAAUCAAGUUCAAUAUCUAAAGGGUUCAGAAUUAUGUCAUAACCAUAAGAAGUUCAAAAAGUUUGCUCAAGCUUCUUUGCAGCUUUGCAAGUCCUACAUGGAAAUGUCAUCCACGACAGGAACAAAACGAGAAUUAUUGUUAGCUGAGAUGCAUCUUAAAAGCUCCUUGAAAGAGGCCAUGGACUUCGUAGAUUCAGAGGAGUAUAAACAACUUGCUGACUGCCUUGUUGAAUUAAAGGACCUGAUUGGUGCUGCCUAG